RNAcentral lists this ribosomal RNA (254 nucleotides) under uncultured bacterium. RNAcentral describes it as "partial 16S ribosomal RNA". It matches the Rfam family "Bacterial small subunit ribosomal RNA", at positions 524 to 776 of the family's 1533-position model. The record is from RNAcentral.
UACGUAGGGGGCAAGCGUUGUCCGGAUUUAUUGGGCGUAAAAGGCUUGUAGGUGGCCACGCCAAGUCGGAUGUGAAAUCUCCCGGCUCAACUGGGAGGGGUCAUUCGAUACUGGCGGGCUCGAGGCCGGUAGGGGGAAGUGGAAUUCUCGGUGUAGCGGUGAAAUGCGUAGAUAUCGAGAGGAACACCUGCGGCGAAGGCGGGUAGCUGGGCCGACACUGACGCUGAGGCGCGAAAGCGUGGGUAGCAAACGGG